This 501-nucleotide ribosomal RNA is filed under the name uncultured bacterium. RNAcentral describes it as "bacterial SSU rRNA". It matches the Rfam family "Bacterial small subunit ribosomal RNA", at positions 32 to 507 of the family's 1533-position model. The record is from RNAcentral.
AAUCAACGCUGGCGGCGUGCCUCAGACAUGCAAGUCGAACGCGAAAGUUUCCUUCGGGAGAUGAGUAGAGUGGCGCACGGGUGAGUAACACGUAGGUAAUUUGCCUUUGGGUGGGGAAUACCAACCGGAAACGGUUGUUAAUACCGCAUAAUGCAGCGGCAUCAUAAGAUGACAGUUGUUAAAGCGGGGGAUUCGUAAGAACCUCGCGCCUAAAGAGGAGCCUGCGGCGGACUAGGUAGNGGUGAGGUAAUGGCUCACCAAGCCUGCGAUCCGUAACCGACCUGAGAGGGUGGUCGGUCACACUGACACUGACAUACGGGUCAGACUCCUACGGGAGGCAGCAGUCGGGAAUUUUGGGCAAUGGGCGCAAGCCUGACCCAGCAACGCCGCGUGAAGGAUGAAGCAUUUCGGUGUGUAAACUUCGCAAGAACAGGAAGAAUAAGUGAAUACUAAUACCGUUCAUGAUGACGGUACUGUUUGUAAGCUCCGGCUAACUCCGUG